RNAcentral lists this ribosomal RNA (253 nucleotides) under uncultured bacterium. Its description in RNAcentral is "partial 16S ribosomal RNA". It matches the Rfam family "Bacterial small subunit ribosomal RNA", at positions 524 to 776 of the family's 1533-position model. The record is from RNAcentral.
UACGUAGGGUGCAAGCGUUGUCCGGAAUUACUGGGCGUAAAGGGCUCGUAGGCGGCCAACUAAGUCAGACGUGAAAUCCCUCGGCUUAACCGAGGAACUGCGUCUGAUACUGGAUGGCUAGAGAUUGGGAGAGGGAUGCGGAAUUCCAGGUGUAGCGGUGAAAUGCGUAGAUAUCUGGAGGAACACCGGUGGCGAAGGCGGCAUCCUGGACCAACACUGACGCUGAGGAGCGAAAGCCAGGGGAGCAAACGGG